AAAAUUUAAAAUUAAAAUACUAAAAUAGUAAAUAAUUAUUUGUUUAAACUUAAAUAAUUUGGCGGUAUUUUAGUUUAUUUAGAGGAAUCUGUUUAAUAAUUGAUAUUCCACGAAUAAAUUUACUUAAUUUAUAAUUUUGUAUAUCGUUGUUACAAAAAUAUUUUUUAAUAA
This 171-nucleotide ribosomal RNA is filed under the name Acrapex seydeli. Its description in RNAcentral is "partial 12S small subunit ribosomal RNA". The record is from RNAcentral. Lineage: Eukaryota; Metazoa; Arthropoda; Insecta; Lepidoptera; Noctuidae.